RNAcentral lists this ribosomal RNA (497 nucleotides) under uncultured bacterium. RNAcentral's name for it is "partial 16S ribosomal RNA". It matches the Rfam family "Bacterial small subunit ribosomal RNA", at positions 28 to 507 of the family's 1533-position model. The record is from RNAcentral.
GAUGAACGCUGGCGGCGUGCCUAAUACAUGCAAGUCGAGCGAACGGACGAGAAGCUUGCUUUUCUGAUGUUAGCGGCGGACGGGUGAGUAACACGUGGAUAACCUACCUAUAAGACUGGGAUAACUUCGGGAAACCGGAGCUAAUACCGGAUAAUAUUUUGAACCGCGUGGUUCAAAAGUGAAAGACGGUCUUGCUGUCACUUAUAGAUGGAUCCGCGCUGCAUUAGCUAGUUGGUAAGGUAACGGCUUACCAAGGCAACGAUGCAUAGCCGACCUGAGAGGGUGAUCGGCCACACUGGAACUGAGACACGGUCCAGACUCCUACGGGAGGCAGCAGUAGGGAAUCUUCCGCAAUGGGCGAAAGCCUGACGGAGCAACGCCGCGUGAGUGAUGAAGGUCUUCGGAUCGUAAAACUCUGUUAUUAGGGAAGAACAUAUGUGUAAGUAACUGUGCACAUCUUGACGGUACCUAAUCAGAAAGCCACGGCUAACUACGUG